This 492-nucleotide ribosomal RNA is filed under the name uncultured bacterium. Its description in RNAcentral is "partial 16S ribosomal RNA". It matches the Rfam family "Bacterial small subunit ribosomal RNA", at positions 29 to 507 of the family's 1533-position model. The record is from RNAcentral.
AGUGAACGCUGGCGGUAGGCCUAACACAUGCAAGUCGAACGGCAGCACAGUAAGAGCUUGCUCUUACGGGUGGCGAGUGGCGGACGGGUGAGGAAUACAUCGGAAUCUACUUUUUCGUGGGGGAUAACGUAGGGAAACUUACGCUAAUACCGCAUACGACCUACGGGUGAAAGCAGGGGAUCUUCGGACCUUUCGCGAUUGAAUGAGCCGAUGUCGGAUUAGCUAGUUGGCGGGGUAAAGGCCCACCAAGGCGACGAUCCGUAGCUGGUCUGAGAGGAUGAUCAGCCACACUGGAACUGAGACACGGUCCAGACUCCUACGGGAGGCAGCAGUGGGGAAUAUUGGACAAUGGGCGAAAGCAUGAUCCAGCAAUACCGCGUGGGUGAAGAAGGCCUUCGGGUUGUAAAGCCCUUUUGUUGGGAAAGAAAAGCAGCAGGUUAAUACCCCGCUGUUCUGACGGUACCAAAAGAAUAAGCACCGGCUAACUUCGUG